UACAGGGGGUGCAAACGUUGCUCGGAAUUAUUGGGCGUAAAGCGCGCGUAGGCGGCCACCUAAGUCGGAUGUGAAAGCCCCCGGCUCAACUGGGGAGGGUCACGCGAUACUGAUCGACUCGAAGGCAGGAGAGGGUAGUGGAAUUCCCGGUGUAGUGGUGAAAUGCGUAGAUAUCGGGAGGAACACCAGUGGCGAAGGCAGGUCUCUGGGCCACUACUGACGCUGAGAAGCGAAAGCGUGGGGAGCGAACAGG
This 253-nucleotide ribosomal RNA is filed under the name uncultured bacterium. RNAcentral's name for it is "partial 16S ribosomal RNA". It matches the Rfam family "Bacterial small subunit ribosomal RNA", at positions 524 to 776 of the family's 1533-position model. The record is from RNAcentral.